Molecule: ribosomal RNA, 620 nt
Filed under: Hanseniaspora uvarum
Lineage: Eukaryota; Fungi; Ascomycota; Saccharomycetes; Saccharomycodales; Saccharomycodaceae
Description: eukaryotic LSU rRNA
Rfam family: Eukaryotic large subunit ribosomal RNA
Source: RNAcentral
UUUUCCAUAUCAAUAAGCGGGGGGAUAGAAACCAACUGGGAUUACCUUAGUAACGGCGAGUGAAGCGGUAAAAGCUCAAAUUUGAAAUCUGGUACUUUCAGUGCCCGAGUUGUAAUUUGUAGAAUUUGUCUUUGAUUAGGUCCUUGUCUAUGUUCCUUGGAACAGGACGUCAUAGAGGGUGAGAAUCCCGUUUGGCGAGGAUACCUUUUCUCUGUAAGACUUUUUCGAAGAGUCGAGUUGUUUGGGAAUGCAGCUCAAAGUGGGUGGUAAAUUCCAUCUAAAGCUAAAUAUUGGCGAGAGACCGAUAGCGAACAAGUACAGUGAUGGAAAGAUGAAAAGAACUUUGAAAAGAGAGUGAAAAAGUACGUGAAAUUGUUGAAAGGGAAGGGCAUUUGAUCAGACAUGGUGUUUUUUGCAUGCACUCGCCUCUCGUGGGCUUGGGCCUCUCAAAAAUUUCACUGGGCCAACAUCAAUUCUGGCAGCAGGAUAAAUCAUUAAGAAUGUAGCUACUUCGGUAGUGUUAUAGCUUUUUGGAAUACUGUUAGCCGGGAUUGAGGACUGCGCUUCGGCAAGGAUGUUGGCAUAAUGGUUAAAUGCCGCCCGUCUUGAACCACGGACCA